Molecule: ribosomal RNA, 372 nt
Filed under: Corallosporopsis pulchella
Lineage: Eukaryota; Evosea; Eumycetozoa; Stemonitida; Stemonitidae
Description: SSU rRNA
Rfam family: Eukaryotic small subunit ribosomal RNA
Source: RNAcentral
UCUCUCUGAAUCUGCGAACGGCUCCGCAAACCAGUUGUAAACCAUAGCAGUGAUAUCCCAUAGAUCGUUGGAGGUCGACUGGGAACAUGGAUACCCCUGGUAAUUCUGAGGCUAAUACAUCUUAACGCUUUUACCUUUCUGGGCCUCGGAGCCUGGGGAGGGGACGUGCGAGCUUAAAAUACUGGGAUCAUUUCGUGAAAGAACGCACGUUCAGACCACCAUCUCCAGGAGCUGGUCCAAUGAGGGCCGGAUCCGGUGGCCGUUGCAACGGGCUUCUGACCUAUCAACUACACAGCAGCGUAACGGACAUGCUAUGGUGACAACGGGUACAGAGGAUUAGGGUUCGAUCCUGGAGAGUGGGCCUGAGAGAUU